AAUCGUCAGACGUCACCCGACGCACACCACGGCAGGAGCGGGGGACCCAGGUAAGUCGCCGCGGACGUCUCGUCCGCGGCUUGGGGUGAAGCCGUGCCACAGCACGGCCGGGCGACUCCGGCCCGAACCCGACAGCUCACCUCGCAGGCGUGGGAGAGGACCA
This 163-nucleotide small RNA is filed under the name Streptacidiphilus jiangxiensis. RNAcentral's name for it is "c-di-AMP sequence". It matches the Rfam family "c-di-AMP riboswitch aptamer (ydaO/yuaA leader)". Rfam says of the family: This family represents a conserved RNA structure found upstream of the ydaO and yuaA genes in Bacillus subtilis and related genes in other bacteria. The ydaO/yuaA element is thought to act as a genetic "off" switch for the ydaO and yuaA genes in its native state. The record is from RNAcentral. Lineage: Bacteria; Bacillati; Actinomycetota; Actinomycetes; Kitasatosporales; Streptomycetaceae.